This 69-nucleotide transfer RNA is filed under the name Agathobacter rectalis DSM 17629. Its description in RNAcentral is "[Eubacterium] rectale DSM 17629 tRNA". Lineage: Bacteria; Bacillati; Bacillota; Clostridia; Lachnospirales; Lachnospiraceae. The record is from RNAcentral.
GGAGCGUUAGUUUAUUAUGGUAGAACGCCUUUUAGAAGGGAGGACCCGGUUCAAUUCCGGGAUGCUAAA